GACGAACGCUGGCGGCGUGCCUAACACAUGCAAGUCGAGCGAGAACGCCUCCUUCGGGAGGUUAGUAAAGCGGCGAACGGGUGAGUAACACGUGAGCGAUCUACCCGGCGGCGGGGGAUAACUCAGGGAAACUUGAGCUAAUACCGCAUACAGCACUGGCUUGGAAGCUGGAUGUGAAAGCUGGCCUCUCGAAGAAGCUGGCACCGUCGGAUGAGCUCGCGGCCUAUCAGCUAGUUGGUGGGGUAACGGCCUACCAAGGCGAUGACGGGUAGCUGGCGUGAGAGCGUGGCCAGCCACACUGGGACUGAGACACGGCCCAG
Molecule: ribosomal RNA, 320 nt
Filed under: uncultured bacterium
Lineage: Bacteria
Description: bacterial SSU rRNA
Rfam family: Bacterial small subunit ribosomal RNA
Source: RNAcentral